This 434-nucleotide ribosomal RNA is filed under the name uncultured bacterium. Its description in RNAcentral is "partial 16S ribosomal RNA". It matches the Rfam family "Bacterial small subunit ribosomal RNA", at positions 29 to 508 of the family's 1533-position model. The record is from RNAcentral.
AACGAACGCUGGCGGCAUGCCUAACACAUGCAAGUCGAACGAGACCUUCGGGUCUAGUGGCGCACGGGUGCGUAACGCGUGGGAACCUGCCCUUAGGUUCGGAAUAACUCCCCGAAAGGGGUGCUAAUACCGGAUAAUGUCUUCGGACCAAAGAGUUAUCGCCUUUGGAUGGGCCCGCGUUGGAUUAGCUAGUUGGUAGGGUAAAAGCCUACCAAGGCGACGAUCCAUAGCUGGCCUGAGAGGAUGAUCAGCCACACUGGGACUGAGACACGGCCCAGACUCAUUCGACAGGGAGCAGUGGGGAAUAUUGGACAAUGGGCGAGAGCCUGAUCCAGCAACGGCGCGUGAGUGAUGAAGGCCUUAGGGUUGUGAAGCUCUUUUACCCGGGAGGAUAAUGACAGUACCGGGAGAAUAAGCUCCGGGUAACUCCGGGC